UCCUGUGUGACCUAUUCUUGCUACAACUGCCCGCUCAGCCAAGAAUGAAAAGUAAUCAAUGCCAAUCACGUAGGCUUGGUUUCAGGAGGAAAACAAAUUGGUAAGUACAACAAUAGCCUGUCACAGAAAAGCCUCAUAAAGACCUGAUCUCCAUCGUAGCAGGAUUUGGCCCGCCGAGGCUGUCCCCUCGCUUCCAGCAGCCACCACUUCCAGAUGCUAUAGGAGAAGGUGUCGAAGCCCCAAUCUGCCUGUAACUGCAUAUGGUGUUUGCCUUGCUGAAAAAUAAUUGACCACAAUAUGAGAGAUGUGUUGAAAGCUGAAGGUUAGCAUGGCUAAAAUGUGUCAAAUCCAAUUACCUGGGACAGAAAAAAAACUUGCUACAGGAAGAAAAGAUGGUGUAAUACAACUAGCAGCUGCUGGGAAAGCCAACUGCCAUCUCAGAGACACUUCAUGAUCAAGUUGUGCACUAUUUUUUUAAUGCUGGGAAUGAUCUGAACUCUGUUGUGUAUGCAGCUCCAACUAUGGAAAUUCUCAAAAUGCCUGACUGCUCCAAGCUGGCAAGAAACGCAUGGAAAAAGAUCACUGUACUUAUGCGCUGAAUAUUUACCACCAGCUCCUGUCUGAUGGCUGAAGGGUGGGAUCUGACCCUGUUCUUAUGGACUAACAACAUGACGGGGGUAACAUAACCAUUUCUGAGAAAGAGCUUUAGUUUAGGAGGCAGCACAGCUCACUCCUGGGAGUAAAGGACUACCUGCAGGGUAGGUACGGGAUGAGGGCACAGCUAGAGAAGACAUCAAUAGGGAAAGCAUACAACAUAACACUUGUGCUUUGUUGGCAAAUAGCUUCACCUAUUUGUCUGGAACCACUGAACUGUGCUCUGACACGCAGUACAACAGCAGAAAAAACGUCGCAUUCAUUGAAUACAGACUGUCCAUUUCUACCUAACUGGUGAUGACUGUUAAAAAAGGAAAGAGGGAAUGUUUCAGGAACUAACCAAGGAAAUGAAGGAAAAAACCUCAAAUAGGAAAACAUACUCCAUGUAAACUUCAGAGGAUUAUAUAAUGCACUAUCUAAGCCAAAUUCAGCCUGGGCUGGUUCACUGCCAUUGAGGACUAGUAUAGCCAAAAUCCAGUGCCUGUAAUCAAAUCAUCCCUCCAUAAAAUUUAUCCCAAAAGCUGCAAAAUACUUUGUGUCAUUCCCUUUGAGUUCCCUUAUCUAUCACUUUAUCAUUCCCCCUGCUCACAGAGGAAUACGGUUCCCCUUCAAACCCAUUAGCCAUGUGGCAACGCUGCCUGGGCAGUGUCUGCACUGAGACAUUUUUGUGUGUAUUGGCUGUUGUGGAGGGACUGUAUUCCUGUUUCUACAGCUAUAUGAACCAUACCCAAAAUCAAAUGCUCCAUCAAAAUCCUAAAUUCACUUCGAACCAUUAGGAAAUCUCUUUCCCGGCCUUGUUAGUGGUGGCCUUGUUUCAACCCAAAAAGCAGAUUUUUGAUUGAAACAAAGACGGCACUUAUGCAACUUCAGCAUUGUGGGAGCAUUCCUCAGCAAUACCAGUGCUCUAUUUCUUUCCUUCUAUUUUGUUUUCAUUUCAAAUACAUCUUUCUCCUUCCUUCCCAUUACACAGAGGAGAAGCUCAUAGACUCUGCAGAGAUGUAGCACGCUGAAAACCACUGCAACCCUCCUGGUUAAAAAAUAACAAUAACAAUGAAAAUACAAUAAAAUUAACAAAAAAACUGGAAUGGAUGUGGCUAACCAGCUGUUGAAACCUGACGUUGUGCUUGACUGAGCCAUUAUAGGAAAAAGACCCCCAGCUACAGAGCAUGCUAAACAGCUCCACAUCCACCCUGCCUUCCUCCAGCAUCUUUGUCUCACGCUCCCAUUUACACAACAUUAGCCUGGGAGCUGUUUGUUUUCACUGGGGUUUUCUUUUGCUUGUGAAGCUCUAGCCCACAGUAUAAAGACUCGGCAGUGUUGUGGUUACUUCCCUUAUGGCCAUCUGUGAACAGAGCAAUACUCUUCUAGCAUGCACACACGCACACCCAUACCGUUACCACGUUCCCAUCCUGCUACAGACCAUGUUCACGUAUCCUGCCUCUAGAUGAUGCCCAUAUAUCACCACUUUCAUGCAGAAAGGAAAGUCUCUGAAUGCAGGAAGGCUGCACUGGGUGUGGACAUGCAUUGUCCAAACCUCCAAAGGGCCUCUGAGGGACUCAUCACCUGGAGGGUGAAAUCCACAAGAUGCAAUGAUGUCCCCAACCAGGUUCAAAAUACAGACACCUUGUCUUGCAAAGUCACAACUCCUCAGCUUUAGUUAAGUUACAAAUAAUUGAAGUGAAAUGAUAGGUGGCUGAAAGCACUCAGAUGUCAGAAAAGGGAAAUGACUUGGUGCCUCAGUUGGAAGACAAGCAAGGCUUUUUUAGAGACAUUUUUUGUGGGUGAGAAGAAAAUCUGGCUCCAUAAACUGCCAUAAAACCUGCACAACACCAUCCUGGCACUGCCCUUUCCUCCAUUUCACUUGGGUUUCAUGAGCUUUUGCACCAUUUCCAUUACCUCUGAGCACCUUCAGUUCUCCUGUGGAGAUCUCAGCAGUGCAAACUUCCUUAGCUUUAACACCUUGUACAAAGACAGCAACCCACUGGCCCUGCCACAGUGAUGAGAUUCGCCUUGAGACUCACAGAAAUUCCUAACACUGUGCAAGUGAACCUCUUAGCAUUCUUCAGUGCCCCAGAGAAGCACAACUCUCUCAAGUCCAUUCACCCACACAAGGGCCUACAGCUCCCACGGGGACUUGUUUUGAGUACUGCCCACACCAUUGUAUACUGACUUAAAGACUGCUGCAAUCUCUCCCUCUUCACCCAAAACACCUUUCAUUAGAGUCCUUCUGCUGGCAAAGGGUCUUGCAAGUCCCUCUGAAUUACAAAAAAGAGAUGUUUCAAUACACAGGUAAGCAAAAGUAAAUCAGAUUUGGAGAGGAAAAUGCAUUCUUCAGCAGUGUAAUAAAACAUACAUUGACUGGGGAUUUCAGUUCUAAGUGGAACAAUUGUGCCUUGGGUUGGAAGUCUUGUGAACACUUACUACAGCCUGUAGGGCAUUGCUUACAUAUCAUAAACCCCAGCUCUUCUUAAUAAACAGUGCGUGCACGCGUAACCGUAUAAAUAAUUGUGCACAUAACUGUAUACAGAAUGUAUGUUUGAUACUUAAACACAGUCUUAGAAGUCCUUAGAACAAUAGGUCGAACCAGAUGGUGGUGCAGUCCCACAGGAGAACAUAAUGCAAUAAAGCGGAACUUCUGGCAGAAGGAGCACAGUUCUAAGAGGAGAAUAAAUCUCUCACAUUUGGGCAUGAUGCCUCAGCAUUAACUUUCCUUUUUUAAGCAAAUAACAUAAGUAAUAUUUAUAUUGUGAGGUAAUCUUCUUGUUUCCUCUCACAA
Long non-coding RNA from Numida meleagris (helmeted guineafowl), 3430 nucleotides. RefSeq lists it as uncharacterized. NCBI's taxonomy places the organism in Eukaryota, Metazoa, Chordata, Aves, Galliformes, Numididae. The record is from RefSeq and is a predicted model, not a curated record. The transcript is spliced from 3 exons.